CUAAUGGAAAGAUUUUGGAAAAUAUUUUAGUUUAAAAAAUAAUCUUGUGGCAUAGAGGAGCAUAGGGCUUGGCCAUGUCAUGCACAGUCCCUUUCCACACCACAGGAGGUCAAGCCAGGCCUUGAGUCUGCACCUGCAUAUUCCUACAGCCUCCCAGAGUCCUCGGGAGCAUGACGGGGGAGAUCAACCAGGCAGGAAACAGUG
RNAcentral lists this small nucleolar RNA (204 nucleotides) under Sorex araneus (European shrew). RNAcentral's name for it is "Small nucleolar RNA SNORA73 family (ENSSARG00000015803.1)". It matches the Rfam family "Small nucleolar RNA SNORA73 family". From Rfam's summary of the family: U17 (SNORA73A and SNORA73B) also known as E1 belongs to the H/ACA class of small nucleolar RNAs (snoRNAs). Vertebrate U17 is intron-encoded and ranges in length from 200-230 nucleotides, longer than most snoRNAs. Lineage: Eukaryota; Metazoa; Chordata; Mammalia; Eulipotyphla; Soricidae. The record is from RNAcentral.